Molecule: non-coding RNA, 2030 nt
Organism: Aegilops tauschii subsp. strangulata
Lineage: Eukaryota; Viridiplantae; Streptophyta; Magnoliopsida; Poales; Poaceae
Source: RefSeq, a predicted model, not a curated record
CCCCGACCCGUACUGCGCCGUCGCCGCCCCCGCGCCCCCGCCGCCUCCCCGGCUCCGGCCCUCGCCCCGGCGGCGAUGAGCCCUUCCGCCCCCACCAUCUCCGUCCCGUUUGAGGUGAGGCCCUCGCCCGGCCGCCCUGCCCGGCCGCCCGGUCCUCCCUAACCCAAGGUCAGGGGCUCCGCCGUCAAGUUCCUCUCCCACCCCAAGGUCAGGGGCAAGCGGCUAGGGUUUCGCCCGCGUCGCCUCCCACCUCCCGUCCCCGCCCAGGCCGCCAUGUUCCAGCUUGGCUCCACCCACGGGAAGGGCUUCUGGGCGCGGCAACGGUGGAAGAUGCUCCUCUCACUGGGCGUCGCCGGCGCCGGCUACGCGGCCUACCGCUUCUACGACGCGCACCAGAAGCAGCUCGUCCGGGUGGAGCAGCACCGAGGAGGAGCGCGCCGCCGACGAGAUCAUCAAGAAUCAGUGAGCACACAAACCCAAACCACCACCAGAUUUGUUUUUCUUGUGUAUGUAUUGGUGGGUGAUGCAGGGUACCCUGUGAUGUGCUGCUUAUAGCAAUAUCGUCUUAGCGCUAGCAAACUACAGUAGUUCUGUGAUGCAGAGGAUCUCGGAUACAACCACGCUGCCAUUUGCUAUGCACUCCCGACGUUCGCGGAUAAUGGAGGAGCUGGAUACUUCGCACCUGACCGAGAGGCUGCUGCAAGGGUGGAGCGGGCUGGACGACGCUGAAGUAGUCAUCUUCGUCGGCCCCGUCACUGCGUACGCAUACUCCUUCAAUUUUUCCCUCCUACUGGUGUUGUGAUCUGGAGAAGCUCAAGUAGUCAUCUUCGUCCAUCACGUCACUGCAUACGCAUAUGCCUCUGAUUUUUGACUCCUGCUCAAAGGAAUAGGAACAUUUUCCGCAAAAAAAGGAAUAGGACUGUGCUCCUCCCAAAAGACAAAAGCAAGACAAUGCAGACAAUAAAAAUCCAGCACCAACAAUGAAUAGCCGGAGUAAACAAAACAAGCAGACCAAAUCGUGUCGGCCCUCGAGGAAGGGUUGCAGUGUCGAGGAGCAGCAGGCAUGUAAAUCUGACUGCAAUUCAUGUCACGGUGGAUGGUUUGAGAGGAGGGAGGCAGAGCAGAGACAAACGGCGCAUUCCGUCAUGCAUGGUGCGUAGACAGGACUGAUGUUGCUCAAAUGCGAGCAUAUGUGCCCGUGUUGAAGGAGUUUUGCCCUCUGUCUAUGACUCAAGUGUCAAUGAUGCCUCUCCAUAUUAUCGCUACCAUGUCUUAUUUGUUUUGGUUGCUCAGCAAAUGUUUUGCGACACUGGACCUGUAUAAUUAUGGGCUACUCAUGCAGUUUAUUAUUUAAGUUUUGAAUGAUGUUAUCUGUUUCUAUUAUGCAUGCUUUCACAUAAAUGUUUCCAUCAAACAUUCCCUGUGAUCAUAUCUCCAGAACUUACAAGGAUUUCCCAAUGGAUCCUGUACGCAUUCCACCAAUGCUUAUUCCUUUCUUUCUAAUAGGAUUGUAAAUAUUCUGUGUACCAAUCUGCCCCUAAAUAUAUUUAUGUUCACUCUCACAAUAGAUGCCUUACUCUCGCCCCUUGCGCCAUCGGCGCAACGGGUCAUCUAGUAUUAUCAAAAGGUAAAUGCCCUGAUUAUUUAGCUCUAUCAGAUAAAUACUCGUCGAAAGUGGGCUCCUAUCAAAAUUCAUUUCCAUUAUAAUCGUACUCAUACAAUAUUCACACCAUGUAAUUCUGGAAAUAUAUGCUCAUAUCUAGUUCUGCAUAAAAAAUGACAGUAUUGACAUGUUAUAAAUAGUUUGUUUGUCUUUCUGUUUAUUUUGUUACAUUUUGCAGGGAUAAAGUGAAGAAAAAGAAGAAAAGAUUACUAGAAGAUUAGUUUUAGGAUUUUCUUUUAUUUCCUUGCAAUUAUCCUUUUAUUGGAAACUUGUAAAGACAUUGUAAUAUUCUUACUAUAAUAAAAAUUAUGAUUCUAUUUCAUUUUUUGUUUUUAAAUUAUUUUUCCUUAUAGGUUGUUUUCUGUAA